Molecule: ribosomal RNA, 483 nt
Filed under: uncultured bacterium
Lineage: Bacteria
Description: bacterial SSU rRNA
Rfam family: Bacterial small subunit ribosomal RNA
Source: RNAcentral
GCAAGUCGAACGCGAAAGGGACUUCGGUCCUGAGUAAAGUGGCGCACGGGUGAGUAACGCGUAGAUAACCUGUCUUCAUGUCUGGAAUAAUACGCCGAAAGGGGUACUAAUACCGGAUAUUCUUGCUUUUCAUAAGUUAUGCAAGCAAAGGUGGCCUCUGCAUAUGCUACUGCAUGAAGAGGGGUCUGCGUACCAUUAGCUAGUAGGUGGGGUAAUGGCCUACCUAGGCGACGAUGGUUAGCGGGUCUGAGAGGAUGAUCCGCCACACUGGCACUGGAACACGGGCCAGACUCCUACGGGAGGCAGCAGUGAGGAAUAUUGCGCAAUGGGGGAAACCCUGACGCAGCGACGCCGCGUGAGUGGAAGGAAGGCCUUCGGGUCGUAAAGCUCUGUCAAGAGGAAAGAAGUGUACAAUGGCUAAUACCUGUUGUAUUUGACGGUACCUCUAAAGGAAGCACCGGCUAACUCCGUGCCAGCCGCUGC